UUGUGAAUAAAUAAAUAAAUUGUAUAAAUUAGAAUACCUUGACCAAAAUUUUAACACAAAUAGUUAUCCAACUAAAACCAAUAACAUACUAGAACUAAAUUACUUAAAUAAUACUACCAACUUAUUCAAAUUAUGGAACAAAUGAUUAUGAUAUAUAAACUAUAAAAGCCUAGUUUUUAUCAACUCUCAUAAAUUAGUAAAAACAAUACCUUUUUUUCAUGUAGAAUACCAAAAUUGCCAUAUUUACUACUAAGGAA
This 257-nucleotide long non-coding RNA is filed under the name Physcomitrium patens. RNAcentral describes it as "long non-coding RNA (PPAT_LNC007611)". The record is from RNAcentral. Lineage: Eukaryota; Viridiplantae; Streptophyta; Bryopsida; Funariales; Funariaceae.